RNAcentral lists this ribosomal RNA (303 nucleotides) under Triticum aestivum (bread wheat). Its description in RNAcentral is "partial small subunit ribosomal RNA". Lineage: Eukaryota; Viridiplantae; Streptophyta; Magnoliopsida; Poales; Poaceae. The record is from RNAcentral.
AUGAAUGGUGGACAAAAACCCGCAACCUUCUUCCGCUGCCCGAGCUCCCGGAGGAGCCGGCUCAGGCUGUUCGCCGGCUCGGAGGGGGAGGCCUAUGGGGGCGGAGGGGUCUGGUCCGCGGCCACAGCCACGACGAGCACGUGGACCCGGCACCGCGUGACAGCGAGAUGGAGGGGGAAGGGCGAGAAGGUGAGCGCCGGGAACGCCAUCGCAGGCGGUGCAUGGGGAAUGCAAUCGCUUGCCGCCGUCAUCUUCAACAGUGCAACUAGGUUGGAGAAUGGGGAUUAUUUGAAAUCUGAGUAG